GCCAGGCACCGUGGGCGCAUGCCUGUAAUCCCAGCAACUCUGGAGGCUGAGGCAGGAGGAUCACAAGUUCAAAGUCAGCCUCAGCAACUUAGUGAGGCCCCUAACUAAGCAACCUAGUGAGGACCCUGUCUCAA
This 134-nucleotide small RNA is filed under the name Marmota monax (woodchuck). The record is from RNAcentral. Lineage: Eukaryota; Metazoa; Chordata; Mammalia; Rodentia; Sciuridae.